CAACUGAAUACUCUCAUAAACAUGCUGUUAGGGGGACUCACCCCUGGUGAUCAUCAGGAUAUCAUGACAGUGUGCACGAUUGAUGGACACGUGAGGGACGUGGCAGCCACGCUUGGAGCAGAGAAGGGAUUGAACUGAAGACCUUGCACGGCAGGCGGUGGCCAGUACCACUAAGCUAAAUCCCCGGCCCCAAUGAAGCCACUCUUGUUAUUGAUGGCUGCCACUCACUCCCCACUGUGACGUCUGCCUCACUCCCGGCCCAAAG
This is a long non-coding RNA of Fukomys damarensis (Damara mole-rat), 265 nucleotides long. RefSeq lists it as uncharacterized. The record is from RefSeq and is a predicted model, not a curated record. The transcript is spliced from 3 exons. Lineage: Eukaryota; Metazoa; Chordata; Mammalia; Rodentia; Bathyergidae.